RNAcentral lists this ribosomal RNA (468 nucleotides) under uncultured bacterium. RNAcentral's name for it is "partial 16S ribosomal RNA". It matches the Rfam family "Bacterial small subunit ribosomal RNA", at positions 28 to 507 of the family's 1533-position model. The record is from RNAcentral.
GACGAACGCUGGCGGCGUGCUUAACACAUGCAAGUCGAACGGAAAGGCCCUGCUUUUGUGGGGUGCUCGAGUGGCGAACGGGUGAGUAACACGUGAGUAACCUGCCCUUGACUUUGGGAUAACUUCAGGAAACUGGGGCUAAUACCGGAUAGGAGCUCCUGCUGCAUGGUGGGGGUUGGAAAGUUUCGGCGGUUUGGGAUGGACUCGCGGCUUAUCAGCUUGUUGGUGGGGUAGUGGCGUACCAAGGCUUUGACGGGUAGCCGGCCUGAGAGGGUGACCGGCCACAUUGGUACUGCGAUACGGCCCAGACGCCUACGGGAGGCAGUGGUGGGGAAUAUUGCACAAUGGGCGGAAGCCUGAUGCAGCAACGCCGCGUGCGGGAUGACGUCCUACGGGUUGUAAACCGCUUUCGACUGUGACGAAGCGUGAGUGACGGUAAUGGGUAAAGAAGCACCGGCUAACUACGUG